CGGGAUUUUAUAAAUUUGAUUGUACGUAAAUAUGAUGUGUGUGGUCGUAUUUGUUUGGUUAAUCUUCUUAAUUUUGUGUUUAUUUAUUUUUAAGCAGGAUUAUUAUGUUUUAAGAUAUGUGGUUAGUUGGGCCCAAGCAGUUUAAACCUAUUUGGUUGUUUUAUUAGUUAUUUUAUUCUAAUUCAGACUUAAGUUCGAGUAAUAUA
This 206-nucleotide long non-coding RNA is filed under the name Brassica napus (rape). Its description in RNAcentral is "long non-coding RNA (BNAP_LNC003474)". The record is from RNAcentral. Lineage: Eukaryota; Viridiplantae; Streptophyta; Magnoliopsida; Brassicales; Brassicaceae.